CAGGAUGAACGCUAGCGACAGGCCUAACACAUGCAAGUCGAGGGGCAGCACAAGGAGCAAUCUGAGGUGGCGACCGGCGCACGGGUGAGUAACACGUAUGCAACCUGCCUGUAAGCGGGGAAUAACCCGUUGAAAGACGGACUAAUACCGCAUAAUACUAAAUUACUGCAUGGUAAUUUAUUUGAACAUUUAUGGCUUACAGAUGGGCAUGCGCAUGAUUAGCUAGUUGGAGAGGUAACGGCUCCCCAAGGCAACGAUCAUUAGGGGUUCUGAGAGGAAGGUCCCCCACACUGGUACUGAGACACGGACCAGACUCCUACGGGAGGCAGCAGUGAGGAAUAUUGGUCAAUGGACGAGAGUCUGAACCAGCCAAGUCGCGUGCAGGAAGAAUGUCCCUAUGGAUUGUAAACUGCUUUUGCAGGGGAAUAAAGUGCAUCACGUGUGAUGUUUUGUAUGUACUCUGCGAAUAAGGAUCGGCUAACUCCGUGCCAGCCGCCGC
RNAcentral lists this ribosomal RNA (499 nucleotides) under uncultured bacterium. RNAcentral describes it as "bacterial SSU rRNA". It matches the Rfam family "Bacterial small subunit ribosomal RNA", at positions 25 to 518 of the family's 1533-position model. The record is from RNAcentral.